Long non-coding RNA from Sander lucioperca (pikeperch), 193 nucleotides. RefSeq lists it as uncharacterized. The record is from RefSeq and is a predicted model, not a curated record. The transcript is spliced from 3 exons. NCBI's taxonomy places the organism in Eukaryota, Metazoa, Chordata, Actinopteri, Perciformes, Percidae.
GUGUGUCACUGAAACCAUGCUCGAAUUAUCUUUUUGUCUUUAAGGGGGUCUCUCUAUCUCAUAAAAAAAGUUGGCCCACCCUGCACAUAGCCUAACAAGGCUAUACAAUUAAAUAGUCUAGGCGCGAGUGGCGCUUUUGCGCAGUAUAUGCGCACGGUAGGCCUAGGCUAUUAUCUUGACACACGCACACAAC